GGGUUGUGAGGUUAAGCGACUAAGCGUACACGGUGGAUGCCCUGGCAGUCAGAGGCGAUGAAGGACGUGCUAAUCUGCGAAAAGCGCCGGCGAGGUGAUAUGAACCUUUGACCCGGCGAUGUCCGAAUGGGGAAACCCAGUGUGUUCCGACACACUAUCGUUAACUGAAUACAUAGGUUAACGAGGCGAACCGGGGGAACUGAAACAUCUAAGUACCCCGAGGAAAAGAAAUCAACCGAGAUUCCCCCAGUAGCGGCGAGCGAACGGGGAGCAGCCCAGAGUCUGAAUCAGCUUGUGUGUUAGUGGAAGCGUCUGGAAAGUCGCACGGUACAGGGUGACAGUCCCGUACACGAAAGCACACAGGUUGUGAACUCGAAGAGUAGGGCGGGACACGUGGUAUCCUGUCUGAAUAUGGGGGGACCAUCCUCCAAGGCUAAAUACUCCUGACUGACCGAUAGUGAACCAGUACCGUGAGGGAAAGGCGAAAAGAACCCCGGCGAGGGGAGUGAAAAAGAACCUGAAACCGUGUACGUACAAGCAGUGGGAGCCUCUUUUAUGGGGUGACUGCGUACCUUUUGUAUAAUGGGUCAGCGACUUAUAUUCUGUAGCAAGGUUAACCGUAUAGGGGAGCCGAAGGGAAACCGAGUCUUAACUGGGCGUUAAGUUGCAGGGUAUAGACCCGAAACCCGGUGAUCUAGCCAUGGGCAGGUUGAAGGUUGGGUAACACUAACUGGAGGACCGAACCGACUAAUGUUGAAAAAUUAGCGGAUGACUUGUGGCUGGGGGUGAAAGGCCAAUCAAACCGGGAGAUAGCUGGUUCUCCCCGAAAGCUAUUUAGGUAGCGCCUCGUGAACUCAUCUUCGGGGGUAGAGCACUGUUUCGGCUAGGGGGCCAUCCCGGCUUACCAACCCGAUGCAAACUACGAAUACCGAAGAAUGUUAUCACGGGAGACACACGGCGGGUGCUAACGUCCGUCGUGAAGAGGGAAACAACCCAGACCGCCAGCUAAGGUCCCAAAGUCAUGGUUAAGUGGGAAACGAUGUGGGAAGGCACAGACAGCCAGGAUGUUGGCUUAGAAGCAGCCAUCAUUUAAAGAAAGCGUAAUAGCUCACUGGUCGAGUCGGCCUGCGCGGAAGAUGUAACGGGGCUAAACCAUGCACCGAAGCUGCGGCAGCGACGCUUAUGCGUUGUUGGGUAGGGGAGCGUUCUGUAAGCCGUUGAAGGUGUCCUGUGAGGGGUGCUGGAGGUAUCAGAAGUGCGAAUGCUGACAUAAGUAACGAUAAAGCGGGUGAAAAGCCCGCUCGCCGGAAGACCAAGGGUUCCUGUCCAACGUUAAUCGGGGCAGGGUGAGUCGACCCCUAAGGCGAGGCCGAAAGGCGUAGUCGAUGGGAAACAGGUUAAUAUUCCUGUACUUGGUGUUACUGCGAAGGGGGGACGGAGAAGGCUAUGUUAGCCGGGCGACGGUUGUCCCGGUUUAAGCAUGUAGGCGGAACGAUUAGGUAAAUCCGGUCGUUUAUUAACGCUGAGGUGUGAUGACGAGGCACUACGGUGCUGAAGUAACAAAUGCCCUGCUUCCAGGAAAAGCCUCUAAGCAUCAGGUAACAUCAAAUCGUACCCCAAACCGACACAGGUGGUCAGGUAGAGAAUACCAAGGCGCUUGAGAGAACUCGGGUGAAGGAACUAGGCAAAAUGGUGCCGUAACUUCGGGAGAAGGCACGCUGAUAUGUAGGUGAAGUCCCUGCGGAUGGAGCUGAAAUCAGUCGAAGAUACCAGCUGGCUGCAACUGUUUAUUAAAAACACAGCACUGUGCAAACACGAAAGUGGACGUAUACGGUGUGACGCCUGCCCGGUGCCGGAAGGUUAAUUGAUGGGGUUAGCGGCAACGCGAAGCUCUUGAUCGAAGCCCCGGUAAACGGCGGCCGUAACUAUAACGGUCCUAAGGUAGCGAAAUUCCUUGUCGGGUAAGUUCCGACCUGCACGAAUGGCGUAAUGAUGGCCAGGCUGUCUCCACCCGAGACUCAGUGAAAUUGAACUCGCUGUGAAGAUGCAGUGUACCCGCGGCAAGACGGAAAGACCCCGUGAACCUUUACUAUAGCUUGACACUGAACACUGGUCCUUGAUGUGUAGGAUAGGUGGGAGGCUUUGAAGCGUGGACGCCAGUCUGCGUGGAGCCAACCUUGAAAUACCACCCUUUAAUGGCUGGUGUUCUAACGUAGACCCGUGAUCCGGGUUGCGGACAGUGUCUGGUGGGUAGUUUGACUGGGGCGGUCUCCUCCCAAAGAGUAACGGAGGAGCACGAAGGUUAGCUAAUCCUGGUCGGACAUCAGGAGGUUAGUGCAAUGGCAUAAGCUAGCUUGACUGCGAGAGUGACGGCUCGAGCAGGUGCGAAAGCAGGUCAUAGUGAUCCGGUGGUUCUGAAUGGAAGGGCCAUCGCUCAACGGAUAAAAGGUACUCCGGGGAUAACAGGCUGAUACCGCCCAAGAGUUCAUAUCGACGGCGGUGUUUGGCACCUCGAUGUCGGCUCAUCACAUCCUGGGGCUGAAGUAGGUCCCAAGGGUAUGGCUGUUCGCCAUUUAAAGUGGUACGCGAGCUGGGUUUAGAACGUCGUGAGACAGUUCGGUCCCUAUCUGCCGUGGGCGCUGGAGAAUUGAGGGGGGCUGCUCCUAGUACGAGAGGACCGGAGUGGACGCAUCACUGGUGUUCGGGUUGUCAUGCCAAUGGCACUGCCCGGUAGCUAAAUGCGGAAGAGAUAAGUGCUGAAAGCAUCUAAGCACGAAACUUGCCCCGAGAUGAGUUCUCCCUGAGACUUUAAGUCUCCUGAAGGAACGUUGAAGACUACGACGUUGAUAGGUCGGGUGUGUAAGCGCAGCGAUGCGUUGAGCUAACCGAUACUAAUGAACCGUGAGGCUUAACCUUACAACGCCGAAG
This 2928-nucleotide ribosomal RNA is filed under the name Enterobacter ludwigii. RNAcentral describes it as "23S ribosomal RNA". It matches the Rfam family "Bacterial large subunit ribosomal RNA". The record is from RNAcentral. Lineage: Bacteria; Pseudomonadati; Pseudomonadota; Gammaproteobacteria; Enterobacterales; Enterobacteriaceae.